Molecule: long non-coding RNA, 324 nt
Organism: Zea mays
Lineage: Eukaryota; Viridiplantae; Streptophyta; Magnoliopsida; Poales; Poaceae
Exons: 2
Source: RefSeq, a predicted model, not a curated record
CGGUGGAGGAGCCGCUGCUGGUGAACACAAUCAGAGGGAAAAAGGUUGAGAGGGCACCAAUCUGGCUCAUGAGGCAAGCCGAGAGUGCCUCAAGAUUCUGAAGGUUUCCGUCAACCUGACAUGCACCACGGAAUGGAGGUUCGCCUUGGUUUGUCCAAGGGACCUACUGCCCUAGCUUCAGUUGAGGCAGUGAAUGUAGUUCUGCGGUUCUGCCGCACGUUGAUGCACCUUAGUCCAGUACACUCGGGUCAAUAAAAGACCACAUUAGGAUGGUGAAACGGUGAAAACUGAUGGCUUGCAUAUGUUCAGAGUGUUAUGUUGUAA